This 208-nucleotide microRNA precursor is filed under the name Oryza sativa Japonica Group (Japanese rice). Its description in RNAcentral is "MIR812 microRNA precursor family". It matches the Rfam family "MIR812 microRNA precursor family". The record is from Rfam by way of RNAcentral. Lineage: Eukaryota; Viridiplantae; Streptophyta; Magnoliopsida; Poales; Poaceae.
AAUAAGUGUAGUUUUACACUAUUCACGUUCAACAUUUGACCGUUCAUCUUAUUUAAAAUUUUUUUAUGAUUAGUAUUUUUAUUACUAUUAGAUGAUAAAACAUGAAUAAUACUUUAUGUGUGACUAAAUAUUUUCAAUUUUUUUAUAAUUUUUUCAAAUAAGACGGACGGUCAAACGUUGGGCACGAAUAUCCACGGCUGUAUUUAUU